UGCUUUUGCGAUGCCACUAAUGCAUUAUAGAAGGCCACCAGAAACACUGCCUGAUGGAUAAGUGAUCUACAACAUCUGUGGACAAAGGAUGCAGUGUAUGGACUGAGCUGCCUAUGGGUCUGAAUGGGAUAUUUCUGUCAAUACUUGACACAGUGCCAAGUUCAGGCUCCUGUCACAUAGCUGGUGUUGGGAUGGUGUCAAGGCCUGGGUUUGACUCUGCAGCUUGCACCUACAUCUAUAAACCCCAAAGCACAAGAGAGACUGCUCAACACCAUCAUGAUAGAUGUGUUUGUUUUAUAAAUUCCGAGUUGAGGGUACUGUCUCCUACAAUGGAUCAAAAUCCAUGUACUCUUUACGAAUUAUACGGGAGCUCUUAUGAGAAUAGAGGUUAAUUGGCACAAGCAUUUCUGAUUUUUUUAUAGUUUAGCACCUAUUUAUGUCCGGGCCUCAGGCAGUUUGACUCCAGGCCCUGAAGAGGGGUUCACCUCAUGCUAAUUGCCUUUCAUCUUAUAUCCUAUCUGCUCCAGGAAGCACAUUAUAAGCCUCUCUGCAUUAGCUGUGUUCUGUCUCGCACAUUGCAUGAGCACUCUGCAAAGGGGAAUCUUGGCGUGAAUGUGAGUUGAGUUCCGUGCUGUUUCAGAUAUGCUCAAUGUCAACCGGGUCUAUGGCUGCAGUUGGGCAGUUUUCAUGACUGCUGAGAAGUAGCUUUCAAGGGAAAACCUCAACAUAUAAACAUAAACAUAGUUGAUAUUCAAACUCAUCUGGUGUCUGGGAAGUUCUAGCAGGUGAGGUUGUUCCCACAGUAGUCCAUUCUUUCCAUAAAUCACCUUUAGGCAUCCCCAGCUCUCUGGCCUGACCACCCUAACACAUCCUACAGGAAGGCAAAACCCAAAAUAGGUAGAACCAGGGCUUAGUGUAAAAGCUCACGGGUCAGAUCUCAAGGGCCGUUGUGAGCAUAACAAGGUUUCUGACCUUUGGAUUUAUUUUCUAGCCAAAUUUCUUUGGAAAUCAUAGGGUGGAAGUGAUAAGUACAUGCAGAAAGAAAGAACUUUUCCCUUAAAUCUCUGUUCAGGUUCCUUGGUCUCCUUUAAUUCUUAUUCACAGAAAUGCUACAUGGUUUAUCAAUUAAUGAAGAUUCAUUAAAUAUGAAUCAAUGCUUAAUUCACGCUACUUUUCCCCUGGAAGAGCCUCAUGGGGCUAACAUUAAGUAAGACAUUGUUCUAGGCACUUCGCAUAAAUGCAUGAUUUAAUUAUCACAAUAAUGCCUCCAUAUUGGCAGAAUUAUUACUAUUACCCAUAUCACCACCCUCAGAAUCAUCUGUCCCCACUGCCUUAACAGGCUUCCUCACAGCUUUGGCAUCAUGAAGACUCCAGAACACUAGUGUCUUGCCA
This 1392-nucleotide long non-coding RNA is filed under the name Vulpes vulpes (red fox). RNAcentral describes it as "lncRNA (ENSVVUG00000015054.1)". Lineage: Eukaryota; Metazoa; Chordata; Mammalia; Carnivora; Canidae. The record is from RNAcentral.